UACGUAGGUGACAAGCGUUGUCCGGAUUUACUGGGCGUAAAGAGCGCGCAGGCGGUCGAUCAAGUCGAGUGUGAAAGCCCCCGGCUCAACUGGGGAGGGUCAUUCGAUACUGAUCGACUCGAAGGCAGGAGAGGGAUGCGGAAUUCCAGGUGUAGCGGUGAAAUGCGUAGAUAUCUGGAGGAACACCGGUGGCGAAGGCGGCAUCCUGGACCGAGAUUGACGCUGAUGCGCGAAAGCCAGGGGAGCAAACGGG
This 253-nucleotide ribosomal RNA is filed under the name uncultured bacterium. RNAcentral's name for it is "partial 16S ribosomal RNA". It matches the Rfam family "Bacterial small subunit ribosomal RNA", at positions 524 to 776 of the family's 1533-position model. The record is from RNAcentral.